UUUCUUCCACAUUCCACACUC
Non-coding RNA from Caenorhabditis elegans, 21 nucleotides. The record is from Ensembl. Lineage: Eukaryota; Metazoa; Nematoda; Chromadorea; Rhabditida; Rhabditidae.